RNAcentral lists this long non-coding RNA (461 nucleotides) under Sus scrofa (pig). RNAcentral's name for it is "lncRNA (ENSSSCG00015063368.1)". The record is from RNAcentral. Lineage: Eukaryota; Metazoa; Chordata; Mammalia; Artiodactyla; Suidae.
AUUACAAUAAUUGCUAAUCUCUGAAUAAGACAGCCAUGUUUUGUGAGUAACUGAGGGAGAGAGGUUGUGUUAGGUAGAUGUUAGGUGUUUCAACAAAUAAAGCAUUAUAAAUGCUUACUUGGAUUAUGUUUUCAUGAUAGCUUUUGAUAAAAGACAUAUGGUGACCUUUGGGGUCAGCAAAGCUAGGACACAAUAGCAGGUAUUCUUUCAUGCCUUUUAACUGAAAAAUAUCACGGCUUGUUGUUUUGGAGUGCUGUCACUGCUCUGAAUCGAAAGGAUAAUGGCUACUUCCUGAUUAAACCCACUCUCCACAAUAUGGAGUCUGGAGAAAGGUUACCAUCCUCAACAACCUCCUCUACUACACCAACUUCAUCUUCUAUACCUUCUGUGGCUUCAUCAGUUUCAAAAGGCGGCCUUUCCACUGGAGCUGCUUCACUUAGCUCUACAAUCAACCCAUGUGG